UAUGCGUAGUGCUGGAGCAGAAUUUCGGGA
Molecule: non-coding RNA, 30 nt
Filed under: Homo sapiens (human)
Lineage: Eukaryota; Metazoa; Chordata; Mammalia; Primates; Hominidae
Source: RNAcentral